Molecule: transfer RNA, 74 nt
Filed under: Lachnospiraceae bacterium
Lineage: Bacteria; Bacillati; Bacillota; Clostridia; Lachnospirales; Lachnospiraceae
Also listed under: 1 other name
Description: tRNA-Met
Rfam family: tRNA
About the family: Transfer RNA (tRNA) molecules are approximately 80 nucleotides in length.
Source: RNAcentral
GGCGGAGUAGCUCAGUUGGCUAGAGCACACGGUUCAUACCCGUGGUGUCAGGAGUUCAAAUCUCCUCUCCGCUA